UACGUAGGGUGCAAGCGUUGCCCGGAUUUAUUGGGCGUAAAGGGCGCGUAGGCGGCCCGCUAAGUCGAACGUGAAAUCCCCGAGCUCAACUCGGGAACUGCGUCCGAUACUGGUGGGCUUGAAUCCGGGAGAGGGAUGCGGAAUUCCAGGUGUAGCGGUGAAAUGCGUAGAUAUCUGGAGGAACACCGGUGGCGAAGGCGGCAUCCUGGACCGGCAUUGACGCUGAGGCGCGAAAGCUAGGGGAGCAAACGGG
RNAcentral lists this ribosomal RNA (253 nucleotides) under uncultured bacterium. RNAcentral's name for it is "partial 16S ribosomal RNA". It matches the Rfam family "Bacterial small subunit ribosomal RNA", at positions 524 to 776 of the family's 1533-position model. The record is from RNAcentral.